AGAGUUUGAUCCUGGCUCAGGAUGAACGCUAGCUACAGGCUUAACACAUGCAAGUCGAGGGGCAGCAUACGGGUAGCUUGCUAUCCGUGAUGGCGACCGGCGCACGGGUGAGUAACGCGUAUCCAACCUUCCCCUUAGCAGGGCAUAGCCCGUAGAAAUGCGGAUUAAUACCCUAUGCCCUUCACUGCGGACAUCUGACGUGAAGGAAAGGCUUGCCGCUGAGGGAUGGGGAUGCGUCUGAUUAGGUUGUCGGCGGGGUAACGGCCCACCGAGCCUUCGAUCAGUAGGGGUUCUGAGAGGAAGGUCCCCCACACUGGUACUGAGACACGGACCAGACUCCUACGGGAGGCAGCAGUGAGGAAUAUUGGUCAAUGGGCGUAAGCCUGAACCAGCCAAGUAGCGUGCAGGAUGACGGCCCUACGGGUUGUAAACUGCUUUUAUGCGGGGAUAAAGUGUGGGACGCGUCCCAUAUUGCAGGUACCGCAUGAAUAAGGACCGGCUAAUUCCGUGCCAGCAGCCGCGGUAAUACGGAAGGUCCGGGCGUUAUCCGGAUUUAUUGGGUUUAAAGGGAGCGCAGGCUGCCUGUUAAGCGUGACGUGAAAUGCAGGUGCUCAACGUCUGCACUGCGUCGCGAACUGGUAGGCUGGAGUACACUGUAAGUGGGCGGAAUUCGUGGUGUAGCGGUGAAAUGCUUAGAUAUCACGAAGAACUCCGAUUGCGAAGGCAGCUCACUGUCGUGUCACUGACGCUGAGGCUCGAAGGUGCGGGUAUCGAACAGGAUUAGAUACCCUGGUAGUCCGCAUGGUAAACGAUGGAUGCCCGCUGUUUGCCUUUAUUGGCAAGCGGCCAAGCGAAAGCGUUAAGCAUCCCACCUGGGGAGUACGCCGGCAACGGUGAAACUCAAAGGAAUUGACGGGGGCCCGCACAAGCGGAGGAACAUGUGGUUUAAUUCGAUGAUACGCGAGGAACCUUACCCGGGCUUGAACUGCAGAUGAAUGCGGUGGAGACACCAAAGUCCUUCGGGACAUCUGCGGAGGUGCUGCAUGGUUGUCGUCAGCUCGUGCCGUGAGGUGUCGGCUUAAGUGCCAUAACGAGCGCAACCCCUGCCGUCAGUUGCCAUCGGGUGAUGCCGGGCACUCUGUCGGGACUGCCACCGCAAGGUGCGAGGAAGGUGGGGAUGACGUCAAAUCAGCACGGCCCUUACGUCCGGGGCUACACACGUGUUACAAUGGGGGGCACAGCGAGUCGGCCGUAUGCAAAUGCGGUCAAAUCAUGAAAUCCCCCCUCAGUUCGGAUUGGGGUCUGCAACCCGACCCCAUGAAGCUGGAUUCGCUAGUAAUCGCGCAUCAGCCAUGGCGCGGUGAAUACGUUCCCGGGCCUUGUACACACCGCCCGUCAAGCCAUGAAAGCCGGGGGCGCCUGAAGUCCGUGACCGCGAGGGUCGGCCUAGGGUGAAACCGGUGAUUGGGGCUAAGUCGUAACAAGGUAACC
Molecule: ribosomal RNA, 1491 nt
Filed under: uncultured rumen bacterium
Lineage: Bacteria
Description: bacterial SSU rRNA
Rfam family: Bacterial small subunit ribosomal RNA
Source: RNAcentral